AGUGAACGCUGGCGGUAGGCCUAACACAUGCAAGUCGAACGGCAGCACAGUAAGAGCUUGCUCUUACGGGUGGCGAGUGGCGGACGGGUGAGGAAUACAUCGGAAUCUACUUUUUCGUGGGGGAUAACGUAGGGAGACUUACGCUAAUACCGCAUACGACCUACGGGUGAAAGCAGGGGAUCUUCGGACCUUGCGCGAUUGAAUGAGCCGAUGUCGGAUUAGCUAGUUGGCGGGGUAAAGGCCCACCAAGGCGACGAUCCGUAGCUGGUCUGAGAGGAUGAUCAGCCACACUGGAACUUAGACACGGUCCAGACUCCUACGGGAGGCAGCAGUGGGGAAUAUUGGACAAUGGGCGCAAGCCUGAUCCAGCCAUACCGCGUGGGUGAAGAAGGCCUUCGGGUUGUAAAGCCCUUUUGUUGGGAAAGAAAAGCAGCAGGUUAAUACCCCGCUGUUCUGACGGUACCCAAAGAAUAAGCACCGGCUAACUUCGUG
This 492-nucleotide ribosomal RNA is filed under the name uncultured bacterium. Its description in RNAcentral is "partial 16S ribosomal RNA". It matches the Rfam family "Bacterial small subunit ribosomal RNA", at positions 29 to 507 of the family's 1533-position model. The record is from RNAcentral.